This 910-nucleotide long non-coding RNA is filed under the name Piliocolobus tephrosceles (Ugandan red Colobus). RNAcentral's name for it is "lncRNA (ENSPTEG00000013925.1)". Lineage: Eukaryota; Metazoa; Chordata; Mammalia; Primates; Cercopithecidae. The record is from RNAcentral.
CGCUGUUGCAACAUUCGGUUGCGCCAUACCAUAUUUAAUUGAAACGUUCGGGAAGCUAAAUAAAUAUGUUAAUGAAAAAGCAAUAAACAAUAUAUUAGCUAUUGUGAAUUGCUUUGGUGCAGGAUUUAUUUUUUCUAUUGUUGUGUUUCAUAUAGUACCUGAAACUAUAAUGGAUUUUGUUUCGCAUGAAGACGUACGCCUUUUUAAUUCUACAGACAAUGAAUUAAAAGUAUUAUUCACUUUUUUUUUUUUAUUUAUUGGUUUCUGUUUGCAACUAGUAUUAGAAUAUGUGUUAGCUGAUGAAAGUAGCAUGUGUUGUGGUGUUAAUGAGCAUAUUAAGCCUGUUUUAGAUGACAAUAUUUCUAAGUAGAAAAAAAAAAAAAAAAUAUAUGUAUAUAUAUAUAAUUAUCUAUACACACACGGAGGAAAGCCUGGAUAUAACUGUUUUAUCGUGUUCUAUUUUAUUUGUUCUUACUUCAUUUACCAGUACCCAGUUCACUUUCUUCUUUUUUUUUUCUUAUUUAUUUAUUAUUAUUACUACUAUCUUAUUUUUUUCUUGUUUUUUAGAAAAAGCGUAGGCAAGUGUAUGAUUAGUCCGCCUGAUAUCGAAAUGAAUAACACGAUCUACGACGAAAAGGAAUACAUAGAUUCACAUGAUAUUAAACACGUAAAUAAAAGACAUUGGUUCUCUAGCUUUUUACAUGUUUUAGCUUUGCAGUCAUUUUUCUUAACGGUAUCAUUGGCUGUACAUUCAUGCAUUGAAGGCAUGAUUGUAGGAACAGCCAGUGAUGAGUAUUUUCCUUAUGUAACAACAAUUUGCAUUUUGGCUCAUAAGUGGAUUGCUGGAAUGACGAUAGCUCUUUCGUUAAAAAAUAACAACGUGGUAAUUAAAAUUUACAUGCAUAUAUGA